UCCAUGUUUUAAAGUUUUUCUUAUUUUGCGCUUAUUUUGUCUCCUGUUAAUGCUUCAAAAUAGAAGCAGCACAUCUGUUUCUGCGGGAAACCCUAGCACGGGUUACAGGGCUAUGUCAGGAAGAUCAAGCAUGCCAGUGAGACGCCCUCCGCCACCUCCUACUCCUCGACCACCGACGCAGAGACCUAGAUGUCCUUUCGGGCGUUAAAAUCCGAGAAAUGUUCGCAUCGGACCGUAAUCAGUGGGAACAUUAUAUGGACAGCAGAGCGACACCGGCGGCGACGGAGCAAACGCGACUCGAACGUCCGUAUAAACGCUACUGCCACAAGUACACCAUUGUAUUGGCAGCACAAAGCAGGGACAGCUCAGCGCUGGAGGGAAGAAAGUUCAAAAAGGGAAACCCAGCAAUUAGUCCCAAGAAUCCUACAAGCAGAGAUACAUACCCUAAUACAAUACAACGACCUACCUACUAUACUACACGACGAACCACAACUACGAGACGCCCAGCAUUUGGCAAGUGGGGAUAACUUCAUGGAGGACGUCUACUCUGCUGCAUGAAUGAAAAAACAAACAAACAAACAAAAACAAAUGACACGUUUCUGCAAAUAUCUGCUCCGCAACACCAAUAAAAGAUUUCUCUUUGA
This is an RNA transcript of Dermacentor albipictus, 644 nucleotides long. RefSeq lists it as uncharacterized. Lineage: Eukaryota; Metazoa; Arthropoda; Arachnida; Ixodida; Ixodidae. The record is from RefSeq and is a predicted model, not a curated record.